CUCCUCCCGAUCUGCUAAAAAAAUAGCCCUCCCGUAUCCCUAACCUCAUCCCCACCAUCCCACCCAUCGCCUGCAAUGGAUCCGCCGCCGCCCUGAUCCCGACCAUCCGCCGCCGCGCUCUGCCCCAUCCACCGCCGCUGCUCACCGCAUUCACCCUCUGUUGCAUCCCAGCACCUCCAUAGCCACCGUGGACCAUCUCUCUCCUUGGUCCUCUCUUGGAUCAACAUGCGGUGACGGAUGCUUCCGGUCGCGUGGUGGUGAUGCGGCUGGUCGUGGAACAAGGGUGAGGCGGACUGUGUCCCAUUCAUUGAUCUUCCUCCAGCUCCAAUUCCUCCUCUCCCACCGAUCGUCAUGUCUGCGACAGGCGCUCUGCUUACCUGCGGCAACGAUGCGUAUGGCGACAACAAUGUCCUUUUGUGCCCCUCCACUCUUCGGACCGCUGAUGCACGGAAGUACGCAGAGAAGAUCGCGCUCCGCUUAGCAAAUUCGUCCGUGUUCUAAGUGGCUGCUCGGCAAGAGCUUGUGCCGGAUGUUCAUCAUCAACGCCAGAUAGGGGUUCAGGCUCCUGUUGAACUCAUGGCAUCAGCCAUAUGGACCUGCAUGUAUUUGAUAGUUUGCUCAAUCAGAUUUAUCCCUUCAACCAUAGUUUUUUGGCUGGAUACUGAGAUGGCACCAUUGUGCUGCUGAAGUUAAACCCUGUUUAUUGGGACGUACAAGCGGUCGGCAAGCACACAUGGCGGCCAGGGAUAAGCCAUAUUUUUCCAAUGACUGCUGCUAGGAUUGAUGUCCUAUUGCCGGAGAAACAAUGGCAACAGUCGCACCGUUUUGUCCAGCGAUGAUAUCAUCCAUGUCUAUUAUUUUGUUGACAAUCACCAUAGGUGCCCGCUCUUUCUUAAUAGAUUUGCAUUUUGAUCUCUGUAGCUUUUUAUGGAUGAAACCUAACUAUGUUACAUGCAUGCCUCAUCUAUGCAUUUUACCACUACUAUUUUCUUAAAAGAUGGUAACAUUGUCCAUCAGAUCUUUUUCUUA
Triticum aestivum (bread wheat) is the source of this 1029-nucleotide long non-coding RNA. RefSeq lists it as uncharacterized. The record is from RefSeq and is a predicted model, not a curated record. NCBI's taxonomy places the organism in Eukaryota, Viridiplantae, Streptophyta, Magnoliopsida, Poales, Poaceae. The transcript is spliced from 3 exons.